RNAcentral lists this ribosomal RNA (546 nucleotides) under uncultured Glomus. RNAcentral describes it as "SSU rRNA". It matches the Rfam family "Eukaryotic small subunit ribosomal RNA", at positions 548 to 1098 of the family's 1831-position model. Lineage: Eukaryota; Fungi; Glomeromycota; Glomeromycetes; Glomerales; Glomeraceae. The record is from RNAcentral.
UUGGAGGGCAAGUCUGGUGCCAGCAGCCGCGGUAAUUCCAGCUCCAAUAGCGUGUAUUAAAGUUGUUGCAGUUAAAAAGCUCGUAGUUGAAUUUCGGGACCAAUUUGUUGGUCGUGCCUCGGUACGUACUGGUAUUAUUGGUUUCUCCCUUCUGAAGAACCUUGAUGUCAUUAAUUUGGUGUCUUGGGGAAUCAGGACUGUUACUUUGAAAAAAUUAGAGUGUUUAAAGCAGGCAUACGCUUGAAUACAUUAGCAUGGAAUAAUGAAAUAGGACGUUCGAUCCUAUUUUGUUGGUUUCUAGGAUCGACGUAAUGAUUAAUAGGGAUAGUUGGGGACAUUAGUAUUCAAUUGUCAGAGGUGAAAUUCUUGGAUUUAUUGAAGACUAACUACUGCGAAAGCAUUUGCCAAGGAUGUUUUCAUUUAUCAAGAACGAAAGUUAGGGGAUCGAAGACGAUCAGAUACCGUCGUAGUCUUAACCAUAAACUAUGCCGACUAGGGAUCGGAUGAUGUUAUUUUUAAUGACUCAUUCGGCGCCUUACGGGAAAC